GACCUGAUGGCACAAUGGUUAGUGCUUCUGCUUGACUUAGCACAUGAAUCGUACGGUUAGCAGAAGAUCCCUGUUCGAUUCGGGGUCAGGUCA
This is a non-coding RNA of Mycena metata, 93 nucleotides long. The record is from the annotation of a GenBank genome assembly. NCBI's taxonomy places the organism in Eukaryota, Fungi, Basidiomycota, Agaricomycetes, Agaricales, Mycenaceae.